UGGGGAAUUUUGGACAAUGGGCGAAAGCCUGAUCCAGCAAUGCCGCGUGUGUGAAGAAGGCCUUCGGGUUGUAAAGCACUUUUGUCCGGAAAGAAAUCCUUGGCUCUAAUACAGUCGGGGGAUGACGGUACCGGAAGAAUAAGCACCGGCUAACUACGUGCCAGCAGCCGCGGUAAUACGUAGGGUGCAAGCGUUAAUCGGAAUUACUGGGCGUAAAGCGUGCGCAGGCGGUUUGCUAAGACCGAUGUGAAAUCCCCGGGCUCAACCUGGGAACUGCAUUGGUGACUGGCAGGCUAGAGUAUGGCAGAGGGGGGUAGAAUUCCACGUGUAGCAGUGAAAUGCGUAGAGAUGUGGAGGAAUACCGAUGGCGAAGGCAGCCCCCUGGGCCAAAUACUGACGCUCAUGCACGAAAGCGUGGGGGAGCAAACAGGAUUAGAUACCCUGGUAGUCCACGCCCUAAACGAUGUCAACUAGUUGUUGGGGAUUCAUUUCCUUAGUAACGUAGCUAACGCGUGAAGUUGACCGCCUGGGGAGUACGGUCGCAAGAUUAAAACUC
RNAcentral lists this ribosomal RNA (556 nucleotides) under uncultured bacterium. Its description in RNAcentral is "partial 16S ribosomal RNA". It matches the Rfam family "Bacterial small subunit ribosomal RNA", at positions 355 to 902 of the family's 1533-position model. The record is from RNAcentral.